This is a long non-coding RNA of Vicia villosa (hairy vetch), 1618 nucleotides long. RefSeq lists it as uncharacterized. The transcript is spliced from 3 exons. NCBI's taxonomy places the organism in Eukaryota, Viridiplantae, Streptophyta, Magnoliopsida, Fabales, Fabaceae. The record is from RefSeq and is a predicted model, not a curated record.
UCUUCUUCUUCACUUUCAGUCAGAGCACAACGAAAACACUGAAACACUGAAAUAAAGUUUUGAUUUUUUUAGGGUUUUUGGUUAUUUCUAUUUUUUAAUUGUUUUUCUUUUGUUGCAAAAAGUGUUUUCAAGAGGUUUUCUGGAAAUGAGUUGCCUGGGUAUGAUGAUGGUGAUGUGGGUUCAGCAAGGUUUGACAAACCUAUAAGCUUUGCUGUUGAUGUGAGACUUGGACCAAAGUGUCACGGGUCUCUCUAAUUGUUCUCUCCAUUAUUUCAUUCGAUGUUAUAGGAUGCUAAUAUGAAGUUAUCAGAACACAGAGACCUGAUAAUGGCAAAAAAGCGUUGCAAGCAUUGCUCUAAGUGAUGCAGCUGGAAAACCCAUUAAAUGUACUCUAUGGGAUCAUUAUGGUUCCCAACUAAUGAAUUACACCCUCUGACAGUGUUGUUGGCCCAAAUAUUGUGAUCCUUACUCAUGCUUUGUGCAGACCAAACACAGGUGACCAGGUGGUGAUGAAGUAUAUAAUGCAUUUGAUAAUCAACUCCCUGCCGCUUUAAAAAGGCUGCAGUUUGACAGGAAUCUUUCAAUAGAUAAUGUGUGGAAGCUUAUAACUCAACUUGAUGGAUAUCAACCUCAAUUGAUAGCUCCUGAACAAGGAUAGAGGGCUGAUGUUAAUCAUGGCUGCAGGUAUUGUGAAUCCUAAUGCUGUUGAAAUUUUCUGUAGUGGUGUUCAUCAAAAAGUCGUAAAUAUGCGGUGGUGCUUAUAAUCUGCAGUUGUGGUCUGGGUGAUUCGUUUGCUGUUUGAAGUCGGUUUUUCCUAAAGAUUGAUGAUGGUUUUGGUUUGUUCCUGUUUUAGAAUUUGAUCUUUUGAGUUUGCUAGCUAUUAUUUUAGGUGAUUGGUUCAGCAGUGGUUAAUGCGAUUAGCUAUUGUUUUAGGUGAUUGGUUCAGCAUUGGUUAAUGUGCUUAGCUGUUGUUUUAGGUAAUUGGUUCAGCAGUGUUUAAUGUGCUUCCCUUCUUUAUGUAGUGUUAAAUGAUGUUCUGCACAUCUACUAUUGUUUUAUUUCUCGAUGUAUUAACAGUAGCACUCUUUGUGCUUUUUCUCUUAAUCAAAUUUGGCUUAUUCACUCCCUAUUACACACACUUAUUGAAAGUAGGUAUCACUUAUCAUCACAUUUUGCCUAGAACUGCAAUCCCCUACCCUCUAUUCAAAUAGCAUUUCUAUCCAUGUUCUUAUGGUUGCCAUUCCGCGUACUCUCUUUGCAUGCUAUUUUUAAUGCGACAGAAGAAUUCAUUCUAUCCAUAGAUGAAGUCAACAACGAGGUUUGUUUAGCUGUCUACUGUGUGAUUGGUGUAUGUCAAUCAAAGUAUCUAUGAUAUUUAUCUUUAUGGUGUUAUGAUCACUAUGAAUAUUGUGAGCAUGCUUAGAUGAUGAAUGAGUUAUCACGUAUUACACCUCAUAAAAGACAUGGAGAGCUGAAUUGCGCAACAAAAGAAGCUUUUUAGAUUAAGCUAUGAUGCAUCAUCGAAUAUUCUCAUCCAUGUUGGCAACACCUCUGGUUCUGGCCAUGAGAUUUCCACCAGUGGAAACAGCAUCUGAGCAAGCAUGACAUCAUGGAUAUU